RNAcentral lists this long non-coding RNA (1082 nucleotides) under Taeniopygia guttata (zebra finch). Its description in RNAcentral is "lncRNA (ENSTGUG00000020551.1)". The record is from RNAcentral. Lineage: Eukaryota; Metazoa; Chordata; Aves; Passeriformes; Estrildidae.
GUCCUCAUCAAGUACUGCUGUCCUCCAAAUCCUGUUGGAUGUGUCAGCCUAGCAGUAAAAGAAAACAUCUCUCAAGAGCAGACACACCACAAGUUCUGUCAUGUAGAAUUUCAUAGAAUCAUAGAAUGGUUUGGCCUGGAAUGGACCUUAGAGAAUAUCUUGUUUCAACCCUCUGCCAUGGCCGGGGACACCUUCCACUAGACCAGAUUACUCACAGCCCAUCCAGCCUGGUCUUGGACACUUCCAGGAUGGUGUUUCCACAACUUCUCUGGGCACCUGUUCCAGUGCCUCAUCACCCUCACAAUGAAGAAUUUCUUCCUGGUAUCUAAUCUAAACCUAUUCUCUUUCAGUUCAAAGCCAUUACCCUUUGUCCUUUUACUUCAUGUCCUUGAAAAAGAUCUCUUGUAACCCCUUUUAGGCACUGGAAGGUCCUGUAAGGUCUCCCCAGAGCCUCUGCUUCUCCAAACUGAACAACUCAAACUCUCUCAGCCUGUCUCCACGGGAGACGUGCUCCAGCCCUCUGGUCAUCAAACUAUACAAGGACUAAAAAAGUGAAGUCAGUCCAUGCCUCCUACAGCACACCCUAUGGGAUGCUAUAGGACACCAGUCACAUAAAACAUCUGAAAUGUUCCCAUCUGAAUCCAAGCCUUAGCAGAGAUACCCUGGCAUGGCCUGCUCCACAGCUCUCAUUCCGCACUCAGCAGCAGGAUGCGAAACAACAAUUACAUUGUGAAAUGUCAUGGGUCUACUGGGAAGCAAAAACACAUCAAUAUUGUCUCCUGGUUGCAUUGAGCCAUGAUGAUUUUGCUUGACUGCAUGCCUGGAUGAAACAACAGAGAACACAAACAGAGAUGGGGCCAGAGCUUGCAUGUGCACUAGUUUAUCUUCCUGCCUUUCCAGUGCACCCAUCGCAGCAGCGUCUGGGUGAUAAGUGUGUCUCUUUGCAAAACAGGAAGACCGUGGGCUGGCUGGCUUCUCUGAUGAGCUAUAAAUUACAGGGGUUUACCUGGCUGUCAGCCUCGCUGUGCACUAGUAGAGAGAGAGAAAAUAACUAUUCUCCUCAUGCUGGAGGUGAGGAGUAA